Branchiostoma belcheri (Belcher's lancelet) is the source of this 1409-nucleotide long non-coding RNA. RefSeq lists it as uncharacterized. The transcript has 6 exons. Lineage: Eukaryota; Metazoa; Chordata; Leptocardii; Amphioxiformes; Branchiostomatidae. The record is from RefSeq and is a predicted model, not a curated record.
GUGGACUGUUCCAGUCAUGUAUAUAUUUAUCAUUUCGCUGUAACGUCAGCUGUGACCGGUACAUGAGGUAACAUUUUCUGCGUUUUUUCACGACCCACGCGGCCACGGAGGACAGAACUCUGCGACAAAAAUGCCGGUCAAUAUAAAAAUCAUCUACUGAGGGGGAUGAGGAUACGCCCCCAAGUUCCGUAAAAUCAAGACGGAGCUUGAGGAUAUCUUCCAGGAUGACGUUAAGAUAGUAGGUGAGGGCACCCCUACCAUCACUGGGUGGUUGGAGGUACAGGUUGUCGGUGGUCCGCUGCUGCACUCCAAGAAGAACGGAGAUGGAUAUGUGGACAGCAAGCAGAAGAUGGACCGUAUUGUCCAGGGGAUCGAGGCUGAGCUGAAGAAAUAAAGGUGGACAUUCUGCCUCUGCUGCUGAUCCCCACCCCAGAAAGGUGUCCGUUGACUUGUUCAUGUGUGGUGAGUCCUGCCGAUGACGGGGCGGCCUGAAACGGAACCCUCCAGGGGCCUGCUCCUGACCAACCUCAGGAACACCACCCUGACCAAGUCCACUCCACACCUCUCUGGGUUUUAUUGUACUCCUGAUGGUAGCAAUUUUCUCUCCAAGUGACUUCUCUGGGAUAUGUAGUGUACUAGUAUAAUGUUUUACCACUGAAGCUCUGCUCUUUUGCAGUUCUGUGUGCCUAUAUUUAAUACUUUCACUGCGUGGGAUUUGAAAAUUAGUUUAGUAGGGUGACAUACCCAAAAAUUUUACUGUCGGUGACGUAAGGUGUCAAUAGUAUUACCAAGAACUGUGUAGAUGUAGUGGGUCCAAAAGUUGUGAUUGUAGCUACCUCCACAACGCUGUUGGUACUUAAAGGUUAUUUAACUUAUUCCUAAGACAAACUCACACAGAUGCAUUGAGAUGUUAAAAAGUACGGGUAGAGGAGAAUAUGUUGUUAUCAUCUUUAUGUGUGGCAAGCAUGUACAAAUCAAACAUCCUCAAUAUCAUUCUCGAUAUACAGACUUCAAGUCAGUGCAAAGUAUGGACACAGAUUGAUACUACGUCUAAUAAUGUACCAUUUCUGUGUAGGUGUAAAUUGUACCAGCUUUGUCCGUACUUGAUGUGUAGAGUUGAGUGUAAGCACUAUUGUACAAUCUUGCUGUUGGACACAAUUGUGUGAGUUUCCAUUCAAACACGUCUUCCACCUAAAGUAACUUCUACAAUGCCUUUGUACUGUUCAUAUCACACGUGUACGUGAUUUUUCACAGUUCUCAGGUGUUGCGAUACAUGUAUUACCAUAUAUCUUUGAGGAUGUAAUCUGUAAUGAUUCUUCUUUAUUUCAAACUAUAGCAGUGAGGAAAAUUUCAAUCUGUCACUAUACAACUGAAGAUAAACCUGCCAGCAGGAACAUGUGUGCACACUG